Molecule: long non-coding RNA, 374 nt
Organism: Octopus sinensis (East Asian common octopus)
Lineage: Eukaryota; Metazoa; Mollusca; Cephalopoda; Octopoda; Octopodidae
Exons: 4
Source: RefSeq, a predicted model, not a curated record
ACAAAUCGCUUAACCGUACUGAUCUAACCAGCUACUCAGUCAGAACAACCUUCUACUAUCACGAAAUGUUCCCUAAUACAACAACUGAGCUACCAUCUACGAGAACUUCUCUCUAACUUCAAUGUAACCAUCAUCAUCCGUUACAACCACCAGUGAGUAAUAAAUCAACAGACAUUGAGUAAUAUCUCCAACUACUGAAUCAUCUGAUACAGUGGCAUUGAACCACCACUGACAACAAUAUCGAAAACAGAAACUGUACAAGUAUCUACAACCAGAGGAUGUGAAAUGGUAGACCCACAUACGACCACUGUAUAAAUAACUCUAGAAUUGCCAUAAAAUGCAAGAACACUAUCUACAAUGGAUUUCGCAGUACA